This 497-nucleotide ribosomal RNA is filed under the name uncultured bacterium. RNAcentral describes it as "partial 16S ribosomal RNA". It matches the Rfam family "Bacterial small subunit ribosomal RNA", at positions 28 to 507 of the family's 1533-position model. The record is from RNAcentral.
GAUGAACGCUGGCGGCGUGCCUAAUACAUGCAAGUCGAGCGAACGGACGAGAAGCUUGCUUCUCUGAUGUUAGCGGCGGACGGGUGAGUAACACGUGGAUAACCUACCUAUAAGACUGGGAUAACUUCGGGAAACCGGAGCUAAUACCGGAUAAUAUUUUGAACCGCAUGGUUCAAAAGUGAAAGACGGUCUUGCUGUCACUUAUAGAUGGAUCCGCGCUGCAUUAGCUAGUUGGUAAGGUAACGGCUUACCAAGGCAACGAUGCAUAGCCGACCUGAGAGGGUGAUCGGCCACACUGGAACUGAGACACGGUCCAGACUCCUACGGGAGGCAGCAGUAGGGAAUCUUCCGCAGUGGGGGAAAGCCUGACGGAGCAAAGGCGCGUGAGUGAUGAAGGUCUUCGGAUCGUAAAACUCUGUUAUUAGGGAAGAACAUAUGUGUAAGUAACUGUGCACAUCUUGACGGUACCUAAUCAGAAAGCCACGGCUAACUACGUG